CCAGCCCUGCCCUCUAUACCCGAUUGGCCAGCGCCCCGCCCCUGCACAUUCUGAUUGGCGGAGAGAGCCGCCGCUCCGAUGAGUGACUCACCUUAGCCAGGUGCAAACCCAGCCCAUUACUCACCCCAGAGUCGGAUUGGCGCCUUGCGUGUCCGAGCCGCCUCUGAUUGGCCCCAGGAGGUUGCCUCGGAUUCCUCACCUUCGGCAGGUGAGAGCCCCCUGAUUGGGCUGUGGUCCUGAAGUAGGGACUUUCUGACUGGCUGGGUUCUGAGUUGGAGAUGGAGGACAGCACUGUACCUCUAGGGAGAAGCGUGCGGCCGUGCGGCUCUCGGGGACUGGGUUGGUUUGUUUAAAUGUAAAUUGCUUGCCGCUCCAUAAACCUUGGUUCCAUCCUAUGGCCUGUGAGCAACACUCACUUGUACGGGAGGGUGCGGGGAGGAGACCGGGCUAGGAGUUACUCUGUCCACCCCACCCAGCACCCACGGACUUUGAACGCUGAGCUGCGGGAGGAGGAAAGGGACAAGGCAGGGGAAGCAGCGCUCGGCUCCGAAGUGGGAAAAGCAGAAUUAAAGAAGAACUUUAAACAGAGGUAAACAAAACACACCCGGAUGAUAGGAAGUGAGCCACGCAUGGUCUGUCCAUAUCUCUGGGUGGCCGAUGUCCUACGUUUCAAAUUUAUCUUCUCGCUGUGACUAAUACUUGGGUGCUAAGCCUCCCUUUUUCUAUAGAGGGUUGAUACCCAAGCUCCCUGCUACAUCACUUUUAUUUGAAGUCCAUGCUCAACGCCUUUAUUAUUAUCUGUAGUUUCCGUUUUACAAUGAUUUAAUUCCAACUGUGCAAUAUAUCUUCAGGGUGGCUGUGGGAAAAUUCCAUGAAAAAAAUUCUCAUUGCAAGUGAAAAGUCCCUAUUUUCAUUCAAAAGAAUGGUGUCUUUGCCUUUUUGCCUCUUUCACCUUUUUAAAAAAUUUUAAUUAUUUUCAUUUUUUAUUCAAAAGUCAGGGAGACAAAGAGACAGAUGGAGAGUGCUGGUUCCCCACCCAAAUGCCUACACCAGCCAGGUCUGAGCCAGGCCAAAGCCAGGAGCCCUGAUCUCAAUCUGGGUCUCCCACUUGAUGGCAGGGACCUAAGUGUCUGAGCCAUCACCUACUGUGUCCCAGGGGGGCAUUAGCUGGACGCUGGAUCAGAACUACUUCCUCUGGGAUAUGAGUGUGCCAAGUGCCAACUUAACCUUUACUCACAUUCCUUUGUUCACAUGUCUUUUGAUGAAAGUUCACUUCCAGUUCCACCCAACUAAAAGCAGUGUUUGUCAAGCAUCUACUGGGUGCUGUAGGGAAAUGCAAAUAAAUAUAAAUGACAAUUCCUGACUUCAAAGGGUUGACGAUCUAUUUCUAAGGCUAAUACAGGAAAUAAGACAAUAAGUAACCCAAAGAGAAACAUCCUAUCACUACAUUGAAACAAGUAUCUCAGUGCCUGCCAAGGGGGAAGUUCUGUUCUUUACCCUCAAGGAAAUUUAAAGUCCUGCAUAGAGAGACAUAUAUACAAAGUAUAAUAGUAAAGAGUAGGGGGAGAGAAGAGAUUGGAGAAGGAAUCACUGCCGACUGUGAUUGUCAGAGAAAACUUUAAGGUGGGGCAACUUGUGGUUUAAAAGAACUCAAAGGCUGGUCAUAGUCUUUAGAUAAGAAGAGGUAAUCUUAGAGAUCAUGUAAGCCAAGCUCUCACCCCAUGUAGGAAAGAUUCAUGCAACCACUAACAGUUUAUACAUACUCUGUGUAAACUCCUAAAAUUCUCGAAGCAGACCAUUCUGCUUUAUGUCCAACUGUUUAUUUAUUUAUCUAUUUAUUUGAGAGGUAGAGUUGCAGAAAGAGGCAGAGGCAGAGAGAGAGAGAGAGAAGUCUUCCAUCUACUGGUUCACUUCCCCAGAUAGCCUCAACAGCCGGAGCUGAGCCAAUGGGAAAUCAGGAGCCAGGAGCUUCUUCCAGGCCUCCCACAUGGGUGCAGGGGCCCAAGCACUUGGGCCAUCUUCUACUGCUUUCACAGGCCACAACAGAGAGCUAAAUCAGAAGUUGAGCUGCCCAGACUGGAACUGGCACAUAUGGGAUGCCAGCACUGGAGGUGGCGGCUGUACCUGUUACGCCACAGUGCUGGCCCCUAUAUCCAAAUCUUAAUUGUUAAAACAUCCUCUCAACCAAUUAGACCCUGCCUCUAAGAACUUCCAACCAUUCCUCUCUGAAGUUAACACAAAAUGUCUAAGAAUUCUUGGCCAUUGAGAGCAAUUUCUUCCAUUUUUUGUUUUUGUUUAGAUUUAUUUAUUUAUUAAUUUAUUUAAAGGCAGAACAAGAGGAAAAGGGGGGAUAAAGAGACAGAGAUAUUCCACCUGCUGGUUCGCUCCACAAAUGUCCUUAACAGCAAGGUCUGGUUCAAGUUGAAGCCAGGAGCCAGUAAUUCCAACCAGGUCUUCCAUGCGGGUGGCAGGGGCUGAGGCACUUAGACCAUCUUCUGCUGCCUUCCCAGAUGCAGUAGCGGGAAGCUGGAUCAGAAGCCAAGAAGUCAGCUCUCAAAACAGGCACUCCGAUUUGGGGUGCCAGAGUGGCAAGUAGCAGCUUAACCCACUGUGCCACAAUGCCAGCCUCACUGUCUUCAAUUAUUUAUAUACUUAAAGGCAGGAAGAGAAAGAAACAGACAGAUUGCUCAUCUGCUCGUUCAUUUUGCAAAAGCACACAAUAGCUAGAGUUGAGCUAAGCGGCAGCCAGAAGCCAGGAACACAAUCCAGGUCUCCCGUGUGGGUGGCAGAGACCCAGCUACUUGAGCCAUCACCUGCUGCCUCCCAGGGUCUGCAUUAGCAGGAAAUUGGACUGGGAGUAGAGCUAGGACUUGAACCGAGGCACUCUGACGUGCAAUGUGGACAUCCCAAGCUCCGCCAAAUGCCUGUCCCUAUUUUGAGACACUUAUGAGCCUCGUAAACCUUUCUUUCUCUGAGCCAAAUAUUUUUAUAUCCUUUCAGUUGUCUUCAUGAGACACAGGUGCAUAACCCUCCCAGAAGGACUCUCCCUCCUCUGGACAACCCCUUGUUUUGUUACUAUACCAAGAAUGGAACCAGGCACUGGAGAAGACAUCUCCCCAGGAGAUAGAUAGUUCUCAAGUCAGAUGCAAUUCCCUAACCUCUAUCUUUCUGUCAUUGGCCGGUUCACAUCUCUCUGAAACUUUUUGCAUCCAGAAGGUACUUGUGAUGACAGUUAUAUCACUUACCUUAUAGCAAAGUAAAGAUUAAAUUAUAUGUAAUAAUGUAAAAGCAAAGUACAGCGCCUACCACAUUUUAAGCAUUGAAAUGAAAGCUAUCUUCAUCAUUUUUACUUACUGUCUAAACAUGCAUUUCCAGGGGCCGGCACUGUGGUGCAGCGGGUUAAGCCAAAGCUUGCAGUGCCAGCAUCCCACAUGGGCAGCAAUCUGAGUCCCAGCUGCUCCGCUUCCUAUCCAGCUCCCUGUUAAUGAGCCUGGGAAAGCAGUGGAGGAUGGCCUGAGUACUUCGCCCCAGUCACCCAUGUGGAAGACCUGGAAGAUGCUCCUGGCUCCUGGCUUUGGCCUGGCCUAGUUGCAGUCAAUGCAGCCAUUUGGGGAGUGAACCAGCUAAUGGAAGAUCUCUGUCUCUCCUCUCUCUGUAACUCUGCCUCUCAAAUAGGUGGAUAUAUCUUUAAAAUAAAAUAAAAAUGCAUUCCUAAAUAUAGUAGCCAUAUUACACUAUUGAAUUUGUUAUAUCCAAUUUGCAACAAACAAAAACACAUAGCUUUUUAUUUUUACUUGAACUGCAAUUAAACCAUUCUCCCAUAUGCCAUGCUUGUGCACUUUUUUUUUUUAAGAUUUAUUUAUUUAUUUGAAAGGCAGUUACGGGGGGGAGGAGUAGAGGGAGAGUCAGAGAGUCUUCCAUCUGCUGGUUCACUCUCCAAAUGGCCACAAUGACCAGAGCCAAGCCAAUCUGAAGCAAGGAGCCAGGAGCUUCUUCUGGGUCUCCCAUGUGGGUGCAAGGACCCAAGAACUUGGGCCAUCUUCCACUGCUUUCCAAAGGCACAUUAGCAGGGAGCUGGAUCAGAAGUGAAGCACUCUGGACUUGAACCGGCACCUAUAUUGGAAUGCCAGCACUGCAGGCAGCUCCUCAACCCACUAGGCCAUAGCGCCAGCCCCAUGUAGUUGUUUUUUAACCAAAGUACAUUUUUUUAAGAUUUAUUUAUGUCUUUGAAAGAGUUACACAGAGAGAAGGAGAGGCAGAGAGAGAGAGAGGUCUUCCAUCCCCUGGUUUACUCUCCAGACAGCCGUUGCAAGACCUAGGAGCCAGGAGCCUGUUCCAGAUUUCCCACGCAGGUGCAGGGGGGCAAGGACUUGGGCCAUCUUCUACUGCUUUCCCAGGCCAUAGCAGAGAGCUGGAUCAGAAGUGGAGUGGCCGGGACUCAAACCGGUGCCCAUAUGGGAUGCCGGCACUGCAGGAAGUGGCUUUACCAGCUAUGCCACAGUGCUGGCCCCAUCAGUUGGGUUUGAUCGUAGCCAGAGUUUGCCUAAGCAAGUGAAAAAGGGAACAACAAGGAUGCUAAAUAGGUUUGCAAGGGAAUGACUUUUUUCUAAGUCUCUGUUUUCUUUCCAGAGUUUCUUUUGCUAACCUGAGCAAUUGUAAGUAUACAUCCAUGUUACCUUACUUUUCUUUUUGCACAAAAGGUAGCAUAGUACAAUCUUCUCACCUAACAGUAUAUCUUAGAGACCUUUUAUGAGUACACCAAGAGCUUCCUCAUUCAUAACAUCCUUUUGUAUACUUAUAAUGUUUAUUUAGUCAGAAUCUAUGAACACUUGAGUUACUUCCAGUCUGUGGCUAAAUAACAUCAUAAUGAAUAAACACAUGCAUAAAUCAUUAAAUCGUGUAACAUAUGCACAGACCAUUCUACAUAGAUGCAGCGCACCUGUCGGGUAAAUCUCCAAAAUUGUGAAGACUGAGUCGAGUGUAUAUUCAGGUAUUAUUUUUUUAAAGAUUUAUUUAUUUAUUUAUAAGUCAGAGUUACACAGAGAAAGACAAGCAGAGAGAGAAGUCUUCCAUUCACUGUUUCACUUCCCAAUUGGCUGCAAUGGCUGGAGCUGCACUGAUCCGAAGCCAGGAGCCAGGAGUUUCUUCCAGGUCUCCCACAUGGGUUCAGGGGCCCAAGGACUUGGGCAAUCUUCUACCACUUUCCCAGGCCACAGCAGAGAGCUGGAUCAGAAGUGGAGCAGCCGGGUCUUGAACUGGCAUCCCUACGGGAUGCUGGUACUGCAGGCAGCAACUUUAACCUGCUACACCACAGCACUGGCCCCAAGGUACUAUUUUGAUUAACGUUGAUAAUUGUCUUCCAUAGGGAUUGCAUCAAUUGAUAUUUGCAUAAUUUCUUAGCAUGCCUGUUUUCCUGCAGUCUUGCCAAACUUUUAUCAAAUGUUUGAAUUGUUGCCAAUAUGAUAAAGGUAAAUUGAUACUUUUAAUUUGCAUCUCUUAUGAGUCUGCUGAGCCUCUCCAUGGUGUAAGAACCUUCAUAUCCUCUGAACUGUCUCUUCAUAUGCUUUGCUCAUUUUAAAAUAUUUACAUGGUUAUUUGAAAGGCAGAGUGACACAGAGAGGCAGUAAAAGAGGGAUCUUCCACCCACUGGUUCACAACUCAGAUGCUCACAACAGACUGAUCUGGGUCAGUCUGAAGCCAGGAUCCAGGAGUUUCUUCUGGGUCUCCAAAGUGGGUUCAGGGUCCAAGCCCUUUGGCCAUCUUCUGCUGCUUUCCUAGGCACAUUGGCAAGGAGUUGGAUAUCAAGUGGAGCAGCCAGGACUUGAACUGGUGCCCAUGUGGGAUGCUGGCACUGCAGGCCAUAGCUUAACUAGCUGUGCCUGUUAGCCCUCUCCCCCUUUUUUUAAUUGAGAUACUUAUAUUUUUCUUAUUCAUUUAUUUGUGCUCUUUAUAUAUUCAAGGAACUAUCCCUUCAUGUAGGAUCAAAGUUAAAUUUUCUCCCACAUUUACUGCUUGCUUUUCGACUUUCGUGUGUGUGUGUGUGUGUGAGAUGCAGAAGGUUUUCGCUUGUUUAUUUUGUACUCAUCCUUUUCUUUUAUGGCUUCUAAAUUUGAACUCAUAAUUAGAAGUUUUUAAUGCUUUAAGGUAAUGAAAACAUUCUUCUUUGUAGUUUUCAUUUUCACUUUAAAUCUUUGAUCCAUCUAAAAUUUAUCUUUGUAAACAUAUAGGGUAAGGAGCCCAUUUCUCCCUCCACUUAUAUUGUAUCAUUCAUUACUAAUAAUUUAUGAUAUUUUUAAUAGUUUGUUGGACUUGCUCUCCUCACUGAUGCCCCUUUUCAAACUUUUUGGGCCGUGCUUGUUUCUCAUUAAGCUGACAUACUUUUGAAGCUGAGUCUUCCUAUCCAAGAACCAUUUAAACCUUUUCAUUUGUGCAAGUCUCCUGUUAAGGUCUUUUCAGUGCACUGUUAACAUCUUCUUCAUAUAGGUAUAGAACUUUCUUGAUAAGUACAUUCCUAGUUUUACAAAGGAAUGAUGAUAAUGAACCAUACCUAGAAUCUAAAUUGGAUUAGGAGGAAAAUAAAGACAUGAAGAAAAUAAUAAAUUGUGGAAAUUUGAAAAUGUUGGGGCUGGUGCCGUGGCUCACUUGGUUGAUCCUCUGCCUGCAGCGCCAGCAUCCAUAUGGGCACCAGGUUCUAGUCCCAGUUGCUCCUCUUCCAGUCCAGCUCUCUGCUGUGGCCCGGGAGUGCAGUGGAGGAUGGCCCAGGCGCUUGGGCACCUGCACCCGCGUGGGAGACUAGGGAGAAGCACCUGGCUCCUGGCUUCAGAUCGGCACAGCACGCCGGCUGUGGCGGCCAUUUGUGGGGUGAACCAACGAAAGGAAGACCUUUCUCUCUGUUUCUCUCACUGUCUAACUCUGCCUGUCUAAUAAUAAUAAUUAAAAAAAGAAAAUGUCAAUUAAUUGGAGGACUUGAUAUGUUGAGGAAUAUGACAGGAAUGGAAAUGCCAGUAGAAUGAGUCAGCUGGAAGGAUUUCUCGCUGGGAAAUAUCAUCAGGUCUUAUUUCUGAGUACUUCCCAUUCUCUUGCUUCAUGUUCUCUUUAGAGUCUCUGGCCAUGAACUGUUUUCCUUGAACUUUAAAAAUCUGCAGAGCCAGCGCUAUGACGUAGCAGGUAAGGCCACCACCUGCAGUGCUAGCAUCCUAUGUGGGCGCCGGUUCAAGUCACAGCUGCUCCACUUCCCAUCCAGCUCUCUGCCAUGGCCUGGGAAAGCAGUAGAAGAUGGCCCAAGUGCUUGUACCCCCUGCAGCCACGUGGGAAACCAGGAAGAAGCUCCUGGCUCCUGGCUUCAACUCAGCCCAGCUCCAGCCAUCGUGGCCAUUUGCAGCGGAAGAUGGACCAAGUCCCUGGAUCUCUGCACCCACAUGGGAGACCCGGAAGAAGGUUCUGACUCCUGGUAUUGGCUGACACAGCCCUGACCAUUGCAUCCAUUUGGGGGAUGAACCAGUGGAUGGAAGAUCUCUCCCUCUCUCUCGGUAACUCUACCUUUUGAAUCAAAUAAAUAAAUCUUUUUUUUUUUU
Molecule: non-coding RNA, 7574 nt
Organism: Oryctolagus cuniculus (rabbit)
Lineage: Eukaryota; Metazoa; Chordata; Mammalia; Lagomorpha; Leporidae
Source: RefSeq, a predicted model, not a curated record